ACAUAUUUAACCUUUCAAGUUAUGCUUUUCUCAAUUUAAUCCCUAAUUGACAUUUUUACUCAAAAUCACUUUACAAAAUAUGUAUAUCAAACACCAAACUUUCAUAAUUCAUCAAAAAUCAUUCAAAAACUCAAGCAUUCGUCAAUGGAAACUCGAAAAUUCAUAAAAAAUGAGCUAGCUAAUACACGAAGCAACGAUCACAAAAACAUAAAAAUUAUUAAAAAC
RNAcentral lists this long non-coding RNA (225 nucleotides) under Gossypium barbadense (sea-island cotton). RNAcentral's name for it is "long non-coding RNA (GBAR_LNC010247)". The record is from RNAcentral. Lineage: Eukaryota; Viridiplantae; Streptophyta; Magnoliopsida; Malvales; Malvaceae.